Benincasa hispida (wax gourd) is the source of this 626-nucleotide RNA transcript. RefSeq lists it as uncharacterized. The record is from RefSeq and is a predicted model, not a curated record. Lineage: Eukaryota; Viridiplantae; Streptophyta; Magnoliopsida; Cucurbitales; Cucurbitaceae.
UCGAAGAGUCUUUCCCUUCAACCUCGCACGCGCCUCCUUCCCCUCUCCGCAAACCCUCGCCAUCAGCUUCCCCCGCAUCGCUAGCCGCCGCUCGUCCUCACUGUUGGUCACUCGUCGGUAGAGUGUCACCCCCGCAGAAGCCAUUGCUCACGCCACACUGUUCGUCCGCCGCUCGCCUAUCCAGCCGUGCGCGUCAGAUCUGUAUGACGUCAGACCGCCCAAAGUCACCGUGCGCUCUAGCCAUCUUCGUCGCUCUGUCCACCUGCGUGUUUGAGACGUCGUCGACACCUUCCAGACGCCGUCAGUCGUUGCCACGUGUCAAUUCGGCCGUCUGACAUCACCUAUUGCCAUUCAGCCGCUGUUUGAGUCGAAACCUUUUGGGUGAGCUUUAGAUUCAGGGCUUGGAAGUUUUGAGGUGACUUAUCAAAUGCAAGACCAAUUUUGACAAAGGUUGUUAAAUUGUGGUAAAUUUUCCUCGGGUGAAUUCAAAUUUAUUCAAAAGCUUUAAGGAGACUAUUUUCAUGGACUAUUAUUUGUGACCAAAUUUGAGGUAAGAGUAAGGACGCGCCGACGAAUGAUAAGCGAAAUCCGUGAUCGAGCCACUGGGACCAGUUUUAUGCUUCCGC